GGGUACCAUUUCGGAUAAGCAGAGUGAGGCCAGGGAGGAGAAAGAGCUCAGCAAGAUCAGUGAGUGAGUCAACAGAACCAGGUCUGGACAUCAUGGCUCCUCACUCAUUCCUUCACACAGAGAGCAUUGAUUAAACACCUACUGUGGGGCAGCCCCUGAGCAUGGUUAAGAGCCACGGCGCUCUAGGAGUUCAUUGGCUGGUGGAGAAGAUGGAAACAGACACAAAAUGGCGGACGGUGAGGCUGGGGGUCUGGUCAGGAAACCACUGCAGAACUGAAGAGAAGAUGAUACAGCUGGAAUCGGGGCAGUGACGGGGCAAGGAGGACAGGAGGGCAGCUGUGAGAGCUGUUUAGGAGGUGUCUACUUCCUGCCUGCCAGACAGGAAACUGCUGAGGUGAGGAGUCUGGGGGCACCCCAUCCCUACCCCGGAGGAGUUCCGUCAGGUGGAAAAGAUCAUCAAAGACCAGAGGGCGGAGAGCCCGCCACACGUUGGCAGGGACCCCAAGACCCAGCUGAUGGUGGAAAGAGGAGGACACAUCUGUCGCUGACCUCUGACAAAAGGCUUAGGGACCCCCAAGAACACAAUG
RNAcentral lists this long non-coding RNA (587 nucleotides) under Equus caballus (horse). RNAcentral's name for it is "lncRNA (ENSECAG00000042668.2)". The record is from RNAcentral. Lineage: Eukaryota; Metazoa; Chordata; Mammalia; Perissodactyla; Equidae.